CGGGUGAGUAACGCGUAGGAAUCUACCUGGUAGUGGGGGACAACAUGGGGAAACUCAUGCUAAUACCGCAUACGCCCUAUGGGGGAAAGCGGGGGGACCUUCGGGCCUCGCGCUAUCAGAUGAGCCUGCGUAGGAUUAGCUUGUUGGUGAGGUAAAAGCUCACCAAGGCGACGAUCCUUAGCUGGUCUGAGAGGAUGAUCAGCCACACUGGGACUGAGACACGGCCCAG
Molecule: ribosomal RNA, 229 nt
Filed under: uncultured bacterium
Lineage: Bacteria
Description: partial 16S ribosomal RNA
Rfam family: Bacterial small subunit ribosomal RNA
Source: RNAcentral